GCCGGGUGUGUUGGCUCACACCUGUAAUCCCAGUACUGUGGGAGGCUGAGAUGGGUGGAUCACCUGAGAUCAGGAGUUUGAGACCAGCCUGGUCAACAUGGUGAAAUCCCAUCUCUA
This is an unclassified non-coding RNA of Pongo abelii (Sumatran orangutan), 117 nucleotides long. It matches the Rfam family "Metazoan signal recognition particle RNA". From Rfam's summary of the family: The signal recognition particle (SRP) is a universally conserved ribonucleoprotein. Lineage: Eukaryota; Metazoa; Chordata; Mammalia; Primates; Hominidae. The record is from Ensembl.